Molecule: ribosomal RNA, 356 nt
Filed under: uncultured bacterium
Lineage: Bacteria
Description: bacterial SSU rRNA
Rfam family: Bacterial small subunit ribosomal RNA
Source: RNAcentral
GGACCCGCACAAGUAGUGGAGCAUGUGGUUUAAUUCGAAGAUACGCGCAGAACCUUACCAACACUUGACAUAUUCGUCGCGACUCUGAGAGAUUAGAGUUUUCGGUUCGGCCGGACGAAACACAGGUGCUGCAUGGCUGUCGUCAGCUCGUGUCGUGAGAUGUUGGGUUAAGUCCCGCAACGAGCGCAACCCUCACUUUUAGUUGCCAUCAUUUAGUUGGGCACUCGUAGGAGACUGCCGGGGUCAACUCGGAGGAAGGUGGGGAUGACGUCAAGUCAUCAUGCCCCUUAUGCCCAGGGCUGCAAACACGCUACAAUGGCUGGUACAGAGGGCUGCGAACCCCGCGAGGGCAAGCG